This 237-nucleotide ribosomal RNA is filed under the name uncultured bacterium. Its description in RNAcentral is "partial 16S ribosomal RNA". It matches the Rfam family "Bacterial small subunit ribosomal RNA", at positions 99 to 334 of the family's 1533-position model. The record is from RNAcentral.
CGGACGGGUGAGUAACACGUGAGCAACCUGCCUUUCAGAGGGGGAUAACGUUUGGAAACGAACGCUAAUACCGCAUAACAUACCGGGACCGCAUGAUUCUGGUAUCAAAGGAGCAAUCCGCUGAAAGAUGGGCUCGCGUCCGAUUAGCUAGUUGGCGGGGUAACGGCCCACCAAGGCGACGAUCGGUAGCCGGACUGAGAGGUUGAUCGGCCACAUUGGGACUGAGACACGGCCCAG